This is a long non-coding RNA of Gorilla gorilla gorilla (western lowland gorilla), 288 nucleotides long. RefSeq lists it as uncharacterized. Lineage: Eukaryota; Metazoa; Chordata; Mammalia; Primates; Hominidae. The record is from RefSeq and is a predicted model, not a curated record. The transcript has 2 exons.
CGCGCUCCCUCGCUCCACCUUUUUCCAGCUCUGCCUUCUCAGGCAGAUACAUCAGAUACCUUGUUUAUCCAUCUUCAGCUCCACUCUGAGGGCGCAGACGCACGAUUCCGGGAUCGGGUGCACCACGGCGAAGCCCAGGCGGGAGACGGCAGGAGCAGCUCAGGUAACCAGGGGAAGCUUGGCGUGCCCACGGAGAUGCAGCCCUGGAGCUGUGAGGAAAGACGGUCUGGCUUCAGAAUUAAAAAAAAAAAAAAAAAUAGAAAAAAAAAAAAAAAAAGAAACACAAAA